This is a non-coding RNA of Pelobates cultripes (western spadefoot toad), 275 nucleotides long. Lineage: Eukaryota; Metazoa; Chordata; Amphibia; Anura; Pelobatidae. The record is from the annotation of a GenBank genome assembly.
CUUUAUAUUGAUAGUUCUACGUUGUUGUUACUGAAAAUGUGUCUUACUACAUUUCCCAUCUCCAACUCAAACUUUACUCGUCGGGGCUAUUCUUUUUAUCUUUUCUCCAAACAUGCCUCCACUUGCUUCUAUAUAAUUUCUAGACCUCAGGUGACUCAGGAUUGGAGUGCAAUUAUUCCCCCCGAGAGAAAUUAAAUAAUUAAAUAAAAUAAAAAAUUCAAGAUGAGAUUAGUGGCAAUAGAUCUAGCGUAAGAAUAAAUAAAGUGGUUUCCCAU